GUCUUACACGUUGUGUGAAACAUAUUUUAUUUUAGAAUUUCAGAGAGCUGUAUCGUUGGGAAACCCGCAGGACUGGAAGACUUCACUAAGAGAUCAUUCAAUGAGAGAGAUGCUCAAAUACCCAGCACAGACCAGGCCAUGGCGCAAAGGUCUACCUAUCUCUCUAAAGGGAAGAGGAGAGUAUCAGAAGCUGUGAAAUGGAGGAGAUAGUCAGCCCUCUGGCCUAGGUCAGGCCAUUGUCUUCCAACAGGUGAGGUCACUCCUACUGUGACGCUAGUCCCUUGACCGACGGUGCAGACGAAAGGCUAGGUCUGGCCAACCUGAAUGAUGUCAUCAACAGUGCUGCAUCACCCAGUGAAGACAGGAUCCCAGCUGUGAACAGCAGCUUUGAGAGCGUUUGAGCGUCUCAGGAAUGGUGUUGGUUGGGCGUGGCUCAGCUGUUCCUUGCAGGGCUGACUGAGUUAGUGCCUGUGCUGUUAUGGGUUCAUUGGGCUGGCAUGCGGCAGGAAUCUUUGGAUCAAGCAUCCCAGGAGCACCCAGGGCUGAAGCCACCAGCGGGACAAAGGAACGACUUGAAAGACAUGGGCUAUAAAUUAUCUUCUGACACUCCAGUUUCCCAAAAGGAUCAGAUUAUUGCAGCCUGUCCAAGUGUGGGACGGUGCAGUGAAUUCAUGGGUGGUGCUGUAAUAAUGAUGAAGGGAGUUGGAUUUGUCAUUGUGGAGGUCCAGAGUUUUGGGAGGGAGGCCAGGCUAGCGGGGCUCUCGUUUGUCUUUAUCAGAUACAAUGAAGAUAAGAAGGUGUAUUCUUAUUAUCCUUAUGAAUUGUAUUGAUGUAUAUUAAAGUGUGUGCGUGUGUGAACGUUUGUGUGAACGUGGGUGUGUGGCAUCAUUUAUGUCUACAUCUGUGUCAGUGUCUCUAUUCAACCAGCAACACGUGUGUUAUGGUUCUUUUGUAAUCUUCCCAGACUGUUCCAUGUUAUUAUUAGAUAUACCAGAUGAGUCAACACCUGAUGGGUAUGGAUGGAAAAUGAGAGAGGUAUAAUUGUUUAAGUAAUCUAGUUAAUCUCUACUAUACCCAGCUCCUGCUCUCAUGUACCAUCUGUUACUGCUGGAGACCUCCGAGGCCCUAACCUAACCACACAUACUGUAGGGAAG
This is a long non-coding RNA of Coregonus clupeaformis (lake whitefish), 1154 nucleotides long. RefSeq lists it as uncharacterized. NCBI's taxonomy places the organism in Eukaryota, Metazoa, Chordata, Actinopteri, Salmoniformes, Salmonidae. The transcript has 5 exons. The record is from RefSeq and is a predicted model, not a curated record.